CAUGCAAGUCGAGCGGUAACAGACAUAAAGAUUCAGCUUGCUGAAUCCGGUGCUGACGAGCGGCGAACGGGUGAGUAACGCGUAGGAAUCUACCCAGUAGCGGGGGAUAGCCCGAGGAAACUCGGAUUAAUACCGCAUACGCCCUGAGGGGGAAAGGGGGCAGUUUACUGCUCUCACUAUUGGAUGAGCCUGCGUAAGAUUAGCUUGUUGGUAGGGUAACGGCCUACCAAGGCGACGAUCUUUAGCUGGUCUGAGAGGACGAUCAGCCACAUUGGGACUGAGACACGGCCCAGACAUCUACGGAUGGCAGCAGUUAAGAAUAUUGGACAAUGGGGGCAACCCUGAUCCAGGUAUACCGCGUGUGUGAAGAAGGCCCUAGGGUUGUAAAGCACUUUAAUCAGAGAAGAAGCAUUUUAAGUUAAUACCUUAUUAUGUUGACGUUACCUGAAGAAUAAGGACCGGCUAACUCCGUGCCAGCAGCCGCGGUAAUACGGAGGGUCCAAGCGUUAAUCGGAAUUACUGGGCGUAAAGCGCGCGUAGGCGGUUUAGCAAGUUGUAUGUGAAAGCCCUGGGCUCAACCUAGGAACUGCAUCCAAAACUACUAAGCUAGAGUACGAGAGAGGAGAGUAGAAUUUCUGGUGUAGCGGUGAAAUGCGUAGAUAUCAGAAGGAAUACCAAUGGCGAAGGCAGCUCUCUGGCUCGUCACUGACGCUGAGGUGCGAAAGCGUGGGUAGCAAACAGGAUUAGAUACCCUGGUAGUCCACGCCGUAAACGAUGACAACUAGCCGUUGGGCAGAUUUAACUGUUCAGUGGCACAGCUAACGCAUUAAGUUGUCCGCC
Molecule: ribosomal RNA, 840 nt
Filed under: uncultured Gammaproteobacteria bacterium
Lineage: Bacteria; Pseudomonadati; Pseudomonadota; Gammaproteobacteria
Description: bacterial SSU rRNA
Rfam family: Bacterial small subunit ribosomal RNA
Source: RNAcentral